RNAcentral lists this ribosomal RNA (1016 nucleotides) under uncultured bacterium. Its description in RNAcentral is "bacterial SSU rRNA". It matches the Rfam family "Bacterial small subunit ribosomal RNA", at positions 357 to 1376 of the family's 1533-position model. The record is from RNAcentral.
AGGAAUAUUGGUCAAUGGACGAGAGUCUGAACCAGCCAAGUAGCGUGAAGGAUGACUGCCCUAUGGGUUGUAAACUUCUUUUAUAUGGGAAUAAAGUGGUCCACGUGUGGAUUUUUGUAUGUACCAUAUGAAUAAGGAUCGGCUAACUCCGUGCCAGCAGCCGCGGUAAUACGGAGGAUCCGAGCGUUAUCCGGAUUUAUUGGGUUUAAAGGGAGCGUAGGUGGACAGUUAAGUCAGUUGUGAAAGUUUGCGGCUCAACCGUAAAAUUGCAGUUGAUACUGGCUGUCUUGAGUACAGUAGAGGUGGGCGGAAUUCGUGGUGUAGCGGUGAAAUGCUUAGAUAUCACGAAGAACUCCGAUUGCGAAGGCAGCCUGCUAAGCUGCAACUGACAUUGAGGCUCGAAAGUGUGGGUAUCAAACAGGAUUAGAUACCCUGGUAGUCCACACGGUAAACGAUGAAUACUCGCUGUUUGCGAUAUACUGCAAGCGGCCAAGCGAAAGCGUUAAGUAUUCCACCUGGGGAGUACGCCGGCAACGGUGAAACUCAAAGGAAUUGACGGGGGCCCGCACAAGCGGAGGAACAUGUGGUUUAAUUCGAUGAUACGCGAGGAACCUUACCCGGGCUUAAAUUGCAGAUGAAUUACGGUGAAAGCCGUAAGCCGCAAGGCAUCUGUGAAGGUGCUGCAUGGUUGUCGUCAGCUCGUGCCGUGAGGUGUCGGCUUAAGUGCCAUAACGAGCGCAACCCUUGUUGUCAGUUACUAACAGGUUCCGCUGAGGACUCUGACAAGACUGCCAUCGUAAGAUGUGAGGAAGGUGGGGAUGACGUCAAAUCAGCACGGCCCUUACGUCCGGGGCUACACACGUGUUACAAUGGGGGGUACAGAGGGCCGCUACCACGCGAGUGGAUGCCAAUCCCCAAAACCUCUCUCAGUUCGGACUGGAGUCUGCAACCCGACUCCACGAAGCUGGAUUCGCUAGUAAUCGCGCAUCAGCCACGGCGCGGUGAAUACGUUCCCG